CCUACGGGUGGCUGCAGUGGGGAAUAUUGGACAAUGGGGGGAACCCUGAUCCAGCCAUGCCGCGUGUGUGAAGAAGGCCCUCGGGUUGUAAAGCACUUUCAGUGAGGAAGAACGCCUGGUGGUUAAUACCAUCAGGAAAGACAUCACUCACAGAAGAAGCACCGGCUAACUCCGUGCCAGCAGCCGCGGUAAUACGGAGGGUGCGAGCGUUAAUCGGAAUUACUGGGCGUAAAGCGCGCGUAGGUGGCUUGAUAAGCCGGUUGUGAAAGCCCCGGGCUCAACCUGGGAACGGCAUCCGGAACUGUCAAGCUAGAGUGCAGGAGAGGAAGGUAGAAUUCCCGGUGUAGCGGUGAAAUGCGUAGAGAUCGGGAGGAAUACCAGUGGCGAAGGCGGCCUUCUGGACUGACACUGACACUGAGGUGCGAAAGCGUGGGUAGCAAACAGGAUUAGAUACCCCAGUAGUC
This 464-nucleotide ribosomal RNA is filed under the name Vreelandella stevensii. Its description in RNAcentral is "partial 16S ribosomal RNA". It matches the Rfam family "Bacterial small subunit ribosomal RNA", at positions 338 to 795 of the family's 1533-position model. Lineage: Bacteria; Pseudomonadati; Pseudomonadota; Gammaproteobacteria; Oceanospirillales; Halomonadaceae. The record is from RNAcentral.